RNAcentral lists this ribosomal RNA (488 nucleotides) under uncultured bacterium. RNAcentral's name for it is "bacterial SSU rRNA". It matches the Rfam family "Bacterial small subunit ribosomal RNA", at positions 30 to 507 of the family's 1533-position model. The record is from RNAcentral.
AUUGAACGCUGGCGGUAUGCUUAACACAUGCAAGCCGAACGGAAACGAUACUAGCUUGCUAGUAGGCGUCGAGUGGCGGACGGGUGAGUAACGCGUAGGAAUCUGCCUGAUAGUGGGGGAUAGCCCGGAGAAAUUCGGAUUAAUACCGCAUAAUCUAUUCGUAGUAAAGUGGGGGACUUUCGAGCCUCACGCUAUCAGAUGAGCCUGCGUAAGAUUAGCUUGUUGGUAGGGUAAAAGCCUACCAAGGCGACGAUCUUUAGCUGGUCUGAGAGGAUGAUCAGCCACAUCGGGACUGAGACACGGCCCGAACUCCUACGGGAGGCAGCAGUGGGGAAUAUUGGACAAUGGGGGCAACCCUGAUCCAGCAAUACCGCGUGUGUGAAGAAGGCCUGAGGGUUGUAAAGCACUUUCAAUUGUGAAGAAAAGUUAACGGUUAAUAACCGUUAGCCUUGACGUUAACUUUAGAAGAAGCACCGGCUAACUCCGUG